Molecule: ribosomal RNA, 105 nt
Organism: Ursus americanus (American black bear)
Lineage: Eukaryota; Metazoa; Chordata; Mammalia; Carnivora; Ursidae
Source: Ensembl
GUCUACACCAUACCACCCUGAACGCACUGGAUCUCAUCGGAUCUCGGAAGCUAAGCAGGGUUGAGCCUGGUUAGUACUUGGAAGGGAGGCAGAAGGUUUUUGACC